GAUGAACGCUGGCGGCGUGCUUAACACAUGCAAGUCGAACGGAAAGGCUCCUGCUUGCAGGGGUACUCGAGUGGCGAACGGGUGAGUAACACGUGGGUGAUCUGCCCUGCACUUCGGGAUAAGCCUGGGAAACUGGGUCUAAUACCGGAUAGGACGAUGGUUUGGAUGCCAUUGUGGAAAGUUUUUCGGUGUGGGAUGAGCUCGCGGCCUAUCAGCUUGUUGGUGGGGUAAUGGCCUACCAAGGCGUCGACGGGUAGCCGGCCUGAGAGGGUGUACGGCCACAUUGGGACUGAGAUACGGCCCAGACUCCUACGGGAGGCAGAAGUGGGGAAUAUUGCACAAUGGGCGCAAGCCUGAUGCAGCGACGCCGCGUGGGGGAUGACGGCCUUCGGGUUGUAAACUCCUUUCGCUAGGGACGAAGCGUUUUGUGACGGUACCUGGAGAAGAAGCACCGGCUAACUACGUG
Molecule: ribosomal RNA, 466 nt
Filed under: uncultured bacterium
Lineage: Bacteria
Description: partial 16S ribosomal RNA
Rfam family: Bacterial small subunit ribosomal RNA
Source: RNAcentral